GCACUGUGACGCCGCCGGCGCGCAAUGCGCAAGUAAUGGCCAUCCGUGCGCUGAAAAUCUGCUAUUUUGAGCGGUGGAAAAUUUCCACAUUUUCCCUGAAAGUUUCUGCGUUUUUUUUUUUUUGUUCGGGUUGUUCGUAGUUGAUGGAGGAUGAGCUGAUGAUGUUUAUGUUUCCCUAUUGGUUUGAUUGCCGUGAUGAUGGCAACGCAUCUAUGCUGCUUACGAAAUCUUGUUCUUCGGCGGAGUUCCGAUGCUCAUUGAUCGGCAAGCUCACCACUUGACCGGGAUUAUUUCGAGUUUUGGAGAAUGAGGUGAUGAACAUAUGAUUCCCUAUUGGUUUGAUUGCCGAUAUGAUGGCAAUGAAUCUGUAUUAGCUCUAUCUGAUCAUUCUCCAGACCGUUGUUCCUGUCGACAUCUCCCAUUUCCGUUUUCUGAAUUACCGGUGAAGAGCUGCCGUCCUUUCCAGUCCAGAAUUAUGUUGCUGAUAUUUGUGUAUUAAUGCUGCUUCUCCCUUGAAUCCCUGACCGAACAUAUCACGAGUUCGGCUUCCAUAGUUUUACUUGAAACAUGAACUUUAAGGUCUCAUUGCAGGAUCCCGGUCUUCUAUUGCAGAUAGGAGUUAGGGGCGGAUAUUAUGUUAUCAGGACUUCGGUUUGAUAAUGUCUGCUUGCUUUCUUGAUCCAAUCUGUAGUUUUGUUCUUGCUCAUUGUUCCGAUAUUCACACUGAUUGGCAAAUGACAUAAGUUUACGACUUGACCAGGAUUCGUUCUGGUUUGGGGAAUGAGGUGAUGACAGAUAUGAUUCCCUAUUGGUUUGAUUGCCAAUAUGAUGGCAAUUCAUUUGUAUUAGCUCUAUCUGAUCAUUCUCCAAACAUAUCGCAUGCAUCUAUAAUUUUUCUUCGUUAGAUUUUGUUCUGUUACGACCUUGCUAACUCUUCUGUGUAUCCAGUGUGAGAAGGACUGAUUGGUGCAGAUGAAAGACGGCGAACAGCAGAACCGGGACUUUCCAAACUAAAGGGGUUCGGAGAUGUGUCAUUUGCUUGUUUUGCUUGGUUGCAGAAACUGUAUAUAGCAAAACAGUUUCAUCUUGCAUUACAUGAAUUUUUCUUCGUGUACUGUAGGAAGAUAGAAAUAAUAAUGAACUCUGCUCCGAUUUUUGCAGA
Punica granatum (pomegranate) is the source of this 1162-nucleotide non-coding RNA. The record is from RefSeq and is a predicted model, not a curated record. Lineage: Eukaryota; Viridiplantae; Streptophyta; Magnoliopsida; Myrtales; Lythraceae.